GAAAUGCGAUAAGUAAUGCGAAUUGCAGAAUUUCCGUGAGUCAUCGAAUCUUUGAACGCACAUUGCGCCCAUUGGCAUUCCGAUGGGCAUGCCUGUUCGAGCGUCAUUAUCCUCCCUCAAACCCUGGGUUUGGUGUUGGGCUCUGUUGUGCGGUGUGUGGCACAACUGGUCUAAAAGACAAUGACGGCGUCCGUGGGGACCCUCGGUGCAACGAGCUUUUCGAAGCACGCGUCGAGUGGCACAGUCUCUCCGGGCCGGUCUCCUUCUCAUUUUUUCUAGGUUGACCUCGGAUCAGGUAGGAAUACCCGCUGAACUUAA
RNAcentral lists this unclassified non-coding RNA (318 nucleotides) under uncultured Chaetothyriales. RNAcentral describes it as "sequence contains ITS1". The stretch from base 1 to 106 matches the Rfam family "5.8S ribosomal RNA", at positions 50 to 154 of the family's 154-position model. The record is from RNAcentral. Lineage: Eukaryota; Fungi; Ascomycota; Eurotiomycetes; Chaetothyriales.